This is a long non-coding RNA of Peromyscus leucopus (white-footed mouse), 983 nucleotides long. RefSeq lists it as uncharacterized. The transcript is spliced from 3 exons. The record is from RefSeq and is a predicted model, not a curated record. Lineage: Eukaryota; Metazoa; Chordata; Mammalia; Rodentia; Cricetidae.
GAGAACUGGGAUUCACAUGUUGACCAAACUGGGAGUGCAUUUCCUUCAGGUCGCUCAAGCUCCCACUUCCUGUUUAUGUUUCACAAGCGUCAAACCCAUUAGCAAGUGUGAGAAAUGAUUGCUUUUCUAACUGUUCACUGGCUGACCUCACUUUGAGGCUUAGAGAUCCAUUCCUCCUCCCUGGACGGAUGUUAUUUGGCCGGUUAUCAUCAAUCUGGCUAGAAUGCCCUCACCUUCCUGCCAGGAGGUGGGCAGCAGGACCAGAGGCUAAGGCUUGGUAGCACAUGCAGCACCUUCCAGCAGCGCUAUGAAAGCUAGACAGUAGAGGAUGAAGCUUCCAAACAAGAUCCAAGAAUGAAGCUGUGUGAGCGAAAUUCUGAGUGCUUGUGAAGAAACUCCAAGAAAACAGGACAAGAGUAUUGUGGCCUCAGUUUCUUCAAAAACACAGAAUUGUUUUUGUAAUGUUUUCAUGCUUCUCCCCAGUGCAGCAGAUCAGAGUGAGUUCACUUUAGAUUAUUCAUCACAGCUGGCUAUUGUUACUUGUUUAUAUGCCUCUAUGGAAAAACACAUUGUCAUCUGUGGCUUGCCCUUGUGAUUGUACACUUUACUCAUGUGAUUCUUCUUAAUCCUCAGCAUAUAAAUUGUCUGAUGCUCUGAAUAAAGUUGGCUAUUGCAUGAGACUUUAGUCUGCCUUAGUUUUAGGCUCCGUUCCCCCAGGUUCCAUGGCCUUUAGAGCAGUAAACAGUCUUAGUUACUUUUCUACUGCUGUGAUAAGACAACAUGACCAAGACAACUUAUAAAAGAAAGUGUUUAUUUGGAGCUUAUAGUUUCAGAAGGUUAGAGGCAUGGCCAUUAUUACAGGGAUCGUGACAGCAUGCAGGCCGGUAUGGUGCUGCAGCAGUCACUGUGAGCGUACAUCUGGACAGAGAAUGGUGUCAGUGUUCUGAAACUUCAAAGCCUUGCCCCAGUGACACACUUACUCC